Molecule: ribosomal RNA, 385 nt
Filed under: uncultured bacterium
Lineage: Bacteria
Description: bacterial SSU rRNA
Rfam family: Bacterial small subunit ribosomal RNA
Source: RNAcentral
AAUGGGGGAAACCCUGAUGCAGCAACGCCGCGUGAGUGAUGACGGUCUUCGGAUUGUAAAGCUCUGUCUUUGGGGACGAUAAUGACGGUACCCAAGGAGGAAGCCACGGCUAACUACGUGCCAGCAGCCGCGGUAAUACGUAGGUGGCGAGCGUUGUCCGGAUUUACUGGGCGUAAAGGGAGCGUAGGCGGAUUUUUAAGUGGGAUGUGAAAUACCCGGGCUCAACCUGGGUGCUGCAUUCCAAACUGGGAAUCUAGAGUGCAGGAGGGGAGAGUGGAAUUCCUAGUGUAGCGGUGAAAUGCGUAGAGAUUAGGAAGAACACCAGUGGCGAAGGCGACUCUCUGGACUGUAACUGACGCUGAGGCUCGAAAGCGUGGGGAGCGAA